RNAcentral lists this ribosomal RNA (460 nucleotides) under uncultured bacterium. RNAcentral describes it as "partial 16S ribosomal RNA". It matches the Rfam family "Bacterial small subunit ribosomal RNA", at positions 338 to 795 of the family's 1533-position model. The record is from RNAcentral.
CCUACGGGAGGCAGCAGUGAGGAAUAUUGGUCAAUGGACGCAAGUCUGAACCAGCCAUGCCGCGUGCAGGAAGACGGCUCUAUGAGUUGUAAACUGCUUUUGUACGAGGGUAAAUCCCGAUACGUGUAUCCGGUUGAAAGUAUCGUACGAAUAAGGAUCGGCUAACUCCGUGCCAGCAGCCGCGGUAAUACGGAGGAUUCAAGCGUUAUCCGGAUUUAUUGGGUUUAAAGGGUGCGUAGGCGGUGCGAUAAGUUCGAGGUUAAAUCCCGGGGCUCAACUCCGGCACUGCCUCUGAUACUGUCGGGCUAGAGUUUAGUUGAGGUAGGCGGAAUGUAUGGUGUAGCGGUGAAAUGCAUAGAGAUCAUACAGAACACCGAUUGCGAAGGCAGCUUACCAAACUACGACUGACGUUGAGGCACGAAAGCGUGGGGAGCAAACAGGAUUAGAUACCCGGGUAGUC